RNAcentral lists this ribosomal RNA (478 nucleotides) under uncultured bacterium. RNAcentral describes it as "partial 16S ribosomal RNA". It matches the Rfam family "Bacterial small subunit ribosomal RNA", at positions 28 to 507 of the family's 1533-position model. The record is from RNAcentral.
GUCGAACGCUGGCGGCGUGCUUAACACAUGCAAGUCGAACGGGAUUUAGUAAACGGAAGCCUCGGUGGAAGAUUACUAAUGAGAGUGGCGAACGGGUGAGUAACGCGUGAGCAACCUGCCUAUGACAGUGGGAUAGCCUCGGGAAACCGGGAUUAAUACCGCAUAAAAUCGUAGAAACACAUGUUUCAACGGUCAAAGAUUUAUCGGUCAUAGAUGGGCUCGCGUCUGAUUAGCUAGUUGGUGAGAUAACAGCCCACCAAGGCGACGAUCAGUAGCCGGUCUGAGAGGAUGAACGGCCACAUUGGAACUGAGACACGGUCCAAACUCCUACGGGAGGCAGCAGUGGGGAAUAUUGCACAAUGGGGGAAACCCUGAUGCAGCGACGCCGCGUGAACGAAGAAGGUAUUCGUAUCGUAAAGUUCUGUCCUAUGGGAAGAUAAUGACAGUACCAUAGAAGAAAGCUCCGGCUAAAUACGUG